This 74-nucleotide transfer RNA is filed under the name bacterium. RNAcentral's name for it is "tRNA-Met". It matches the Rfam family "tRNA". Rfam says of the family: Transfer RNA (tRNA) molecules are approximately 80 nucleotides in length. RNAcentral also lists the same sequence under 1 other name. The record is from RNAcentral.
GGCACGGUAGCUCAGUUGGUUAGAGCACACGGCUCAUACCCGUGAUGUCGACAGUUCGAAUCUGUCCCGUGCUA